CGAAAUGCUAGACAAGUUUUUGUAUAACUUUUGAAAUGGAAUCGAACGAACUUCUCUGAGAAAGACGGUCUGGUGCUUCCGGUGAUUUAUAGUGUUGGGGCGAUGCACAAAAGGGGAAAGUUCUAGAGGGACAUGGGAGAGAUUGGAAGGCUCCAGGAGGUUCCGUCGUAUGAA
This is a long non-coding RNA of Juglans microcarpa x Juglans regia, 174 nucleotides long. RefSeq lists it as uncharacterized. The record is from RefSeq and is a predicted model, not a curated record. NCBI's taxonomy places the organism in Eukaryota, Viridiplantae, Streptophyta, Magnoliopsida, Fagales, Juglandaceae. The transcript is spliced from 3 exons.